AGCGUACACGGUGGAUGCCCUGGCAGUCAGAGGCGAUGAAGGACGUGCUAAUCUGCGAUAAGCGUCGGUAAGGUGAUAUGAACCGUUAUAACCGGCGAUUUCCGAAUGGGGAAACCCAGUGUGUUUCGACACACUAUCAUUAACUGAAUCCAUAGGUUAAUGAGGCGAACCGGGGGAACUGAAACAUCUAAGUACCCCGAGGAAAAGAAAUCAACCGAGAUUCCCCCAGUAGCGGCGAGCGAACGGGGAGCAGCCCAGAGCCUGAAUCAGUGUGUGUGUUAGUGGAAGCGUCUGGAAAGGCGCGCGAUACAGGGUGACAGCCCCGUACACAAAAAUGCACAUGCUGUGAGCUCGAUGAGUAGGGCGGGACACGUGGUAUCCUGUCUGAAUAUGGGGGGACCAUCCUCCAAGGCUAAAUACUCCUGACUGACCGAUAGUGAACCAGUACCGUGAGGGAAAGGCGAAAAGAACCCCGGCGAGGGGAGUGAAAAAGAACCUGAAACCGUGUACGUACAAGCAGUGGGAGCACGCUUAGGCGUGUGACUGCGUACCUUUUGUAUAAUGGGUCAGCGACUUAUAUUCUGUAGCAAGGUUAACCGAAUAGGGGAGCCGAAGGGAAACCGAGUCUUAACUGGGCGUUAAGUUGCAGGGUAUAGACCCGAAACCCGGUGAUCUAGCCAUGGGCAGGUUGAAGGUUGGGUAACACUAACUGGAGGACCGAACCGACUAAUGUUGAAAAAUUAGCGGAUGACUUGUGGCUGGGGGUGAAAGGCCAAUCAAACCGGGAGAUAGCUGGUUCUCCCCGAAAGCUAUUUAGGUAGCGCCUCGUGAAUUCAUCUCCGGGGGUAGAGCACUGUUUCGGCAAGGGGGUCAUCCCGACUUACCAACCCGAUGCAAACUGCGAAUACCGGAGAAUGUUAUCACGGGAGACACACGGCGGGUGCUAACGUCCGUCGUGAAGAGGGAAACAACCCAGACCGCCAGCUAAGGUCCCAAAGUCAUGGUUAAGUGGGAAACGAUGUGGGAAGGCCCAGACAGCCAGGAUGUUGGCUUAGAAGCAGCCAUCAUUUAAAGAAAGCGUAAUAGCUCACUGGUCGAGUCGGCCUGCGCGGAAGAUGUAACGGGGCUAAACCAUGCACCGAAGCUGCGGCAGCGACGCUGAUGCGUUGUUGGGUAGGGGAGCGUUCUGUAAGCCUGCGAAGGUGUGCUGUGAGGCAUGCUGGAGGUAUCAGAAGUGCGAAUGCUGACAUAAGUAACGAUAAAGCGGGUGAAAAGCCCGCUCGCCGGAAGACCAAGGGUUCCUGUCCAACGUUAAUCGGGGCAGGGUGAGUCGACCCCUAAGGCGAGGCCGAAAGGCGUAGUCGAUGGGAAACAGGUUAAUAUUCCUGUACUUGGUGUUACUGCGAAGGGGGGACGGAGAAGGCUAUGUUGGCCGGGCGACGGUUGUCCCGGUUUAAGCGUGUAGGCUGGUUUUCCAGGCAAAUCCGGAAAAUCAAGGCUGAGGCGUGAUGACGAGGCACUACGGUGCUGAAGCAACAAAUGCCCUGCUUCCAGGAAAAGCCUCUAAGCAUCAGGUAACAUCAAAUCGUACCCCAAACCGACACAGGUGGUCAGGUAGAGAAUACCAAGGCGCUUGAGAGAACUCGGGUGAAGGAACUAGGCAAAAUGGUGCCGUAACUUCGGGAGAAGGCACGCUGAUAUGUAGGUGAAGCGACUUGCUCGUGGAGCUGAAAUCAGUCGAAGAUACCAGCUGGCUGCAACUGUUUAUUAAAAACACAGCACUGUGCAAACACGAAAGUGGACGUAUACGGUGUGACGCCUGCCCGGUGCCGGAAGGUUAAUUGAUGGGGUCAGCGCAAGCGAAGCUCUUGAUCGAAGCCCCGGUAAACGGCGGCCGUAACUAUAACGGUCCUAAGGUAGCGAAAUUCCUUGUCGGGUAAGUUCCGACCUGCACGAAUGGCGUAAUGAUGGCCAGGCUGUCUCCACCCGAGACUCAGUGAAAUUGAACUCGCUGUGAAGAUGCAGUGUACCCGCGGCAAGACGGAAAGACCCCGUGAACCUUUACUAUAGCUUGACACUGAACAUUGAGCCUUGAUGUGUAGGAUAGGUGGGAGGCUUUGAAGUGUGGACGCCAGUCUGCAUGGAGCCGACCUUGAAAUACCACCCUUUAAUGUUUGAUGUUCUAACGUGGACCCGUAAUCCGGGUUGCGGACAGUGUCUGGUGGGUAGUUUGACUGGGGCGGUCUCCUCCUAAAGAGUAACGGAGGAGCACGAAGGUUGGCUAAUCCUGGUCGGACAUCAGGAGGUUAGUGCAAUGGCAUAAGCCAGCUUGACUGCGAGCGUGACGGCGCGAGCAGGUGCGAAAGCAGGUCAUAGUGAUCCGGUGGUUCUGAAUGGAAGGGCCAUCGCUCAACGGAUAAAAGGUACUCCGGGGAUAACAGGCUGAUACCGCCCAAGAGUUCAUAUCGACGGCGGUGUUUGGCACCUCGAUGUCGGCUCAUCACAUCCUGGGGCUGAAGUAGGUCCCAAGGGUAUGGCUGUUCGCCAUUUAAAGUGGUACGCGAGCUGGGUUUAGAACGUCGUGAGACAGUUCGGUCCCUAUCUGCCGUGGGCGCUGGAGAACUGAGGGGGGCUGCUCCUAGUACGAGAGGACCGGAGUGGACGCAUCACUGGUGUUCGGGUUGUCAUGCCAAUGGCACUGCCCGGUAGCUAAAUGCGGAAGAGAUAAGUGCUGAAAGCAUCUAAGCACGAAACUUGCCCCGAGAUGAGUUCUCCCUGACUCCUUGA
This 2787-nucleotide ribosomal RNA is filed under the name Escherichia coli. RNAcentral's name for it is "bacterial LSU rRNA". It matches the Rfam family "Bacterial large subunit ribosomal RNA". The record is from RNAcentral. Lineage: Bacteria; Pseudomonadati; Pseudomonadota; Gammaproteobacteria; Enterobacterales; Enterobacteriaceae.